Molecule: long non-coding RNA, 2811 nt
Organism: Cygnus olor (mute swan)
Lineage: Eukaryota; Metazoa; Chordata; Aves; Anseriformes; Anatidae
Exons: 2
Source: RefSeq, a predicted model, not a curated record
CUUCAGAAAAGGAGGCACCGAGGGUAGUGUGAGCACAGCCUUCCUGCUCCCUCCCUGUGGUCACAGAACCCAACGCUGAGGGCUACCAGAGAUAGCUGAGCACGAAUGAGAAGAAGUGGCCAAAGGAACCUGCCAACAGCAAGGAGCAGUUUCCUCCUGCUGGAUUCAAGGAAAUUCCUUCAAGGAUUUCCCCGCAGAAGUGAGAGUUUUCUCCUGCCUGGUAACAAACUAGUGAAGUAAAGAAUUCCUCUCCACCACUAGCCCCUUCAGAAAGAAGCUACCGAAGGCCAGCGCUGAGAAGAGCCCCUCAUGCACCACCUUCCAAACCACUAAAUGAAGGACAAUUUUCACCUUCCUGGCAGAACCAGCCACAGAGACCAUAAAAAACACUUGCCAAAUGCACAUUAGCCUAUGCCUACAUAACAGCUGUGAAUUACUGUAGAUCAGAGCCUCGGGUAUUUGAAAGGCAAGUUUAUUGUUUUGUUGGGUUUUGUUUUCUUUUUUUAUUUUUUUAAGUUCCAUUUUUGUGACAGUUAUUUCACCAAGGCAACAGCAACAAGAGCUGCUGUUAAAGAGAGCAAUCGGAAGUUUUAAAUUAAAAGCAGAUCCUUCUUGUUCCCAGAGGAGUCUCUACCUGUGGAAAGAUCAAGGUAAGAUCUACCCACACAUUUGGAUCCUAGCCCACUGAAAAAAAUCACAUUUCCUACUGCCACACCUGUCCAUCACUAACUCCAAGCCAGAUCCCACAGAGCAACUCCCUUCACAUAAUGGGAAAAGCAGAGGAGAAGAACGGCUCUUCAGUCCUUGGCUUCCUCUUCCAGCCUCCUGCAGGGAGGAAGAUCAAGGAACAAAACGUGGCCAAGUUAACAAGUGGAGGAUGCGAGGCACUCAUUUUUCUGGCUGAGGAGGUAACUUGGUAAGAAUUGUUCUAUACUCUAUUUUUGUUCACUGUUAUUUGUCUUCCCUCUCCUACCCCUCAAAGCCUUACUGGUAAAGGAAUUUAACUUCAUUUACAGUGAAGGCAAGAGGAAGUUCUCUGGUAUUUGUUAAUUUCCAGCAUUAUGUCCUUCUAAUUGAAUUUCUGUGCAUCUCUGCUUAGUGUUUGGCAUAUAAUUGAAGGAGGCGGUUCAUAUAGUUCAGCCACCAGCAUGAGCCAACCUAAUGAUUUUCCAGAGCUCACGAUAGCAACAAGCAGCUUUCAGACAAAUCCUUGAGGUCCCGAAGGAGCUGGAAACACAGCAAGGUAGCUUCCAUCAGCAUGCCCAGCCACGACCGCAGUGUAGUCAUAACAAACAGAGCUCCCUGUGGACUGCACCCACUUCAAGAUAGCCAGCAAAACUGAGAUUUUGUCUUUUUCCAAGAAAAGCUACAAUCCAACUGUGAUCACAGCAAUUCAUCCUACAGAUUCGGGAAGUCAGAGCUACAGUGCUCCCUCUAGAAUAACAGAAUUUUCGAUCAAGUACAAAGUUGGGAAAAAAGAAUACAAAACAUUUCUUUGAGUUUGGUACAGCUUUUCCCCGAACUUUCACCUAUCUCAGAGGACCGCUUACUGUCUUUUGAGAUUCAACUCACUGAUGAAGCCCUUGGAGUGUACCGAGAGCUACUUGCUAUUGUGGCUAUACCUUAGAAAAAGAAUUUAUUAAAUACUUUUUCCAUUGCGCCUAAUGGAUGGUUAGGAGACAGUGUUUUGAGGAAAACAAGCGGAUUCUGAAGCCAAGGAGUGAGAUGCUGGCAGGAGGUGUUGUGAGCAGGAGGAGGUUUUAAUGAGUGUCUUCUAUUUCCAUUUGAAAGAGUUCUCAGUAUUGAGGUACACUCACUCAGCCCACGGACUAAUCUGUACUUUUAAACACAAGCUUCUUGUUAAACAACAAACAACAACUCCUCGGCACAUUAUAUAUCUUAACGGAACUGUCCUUGCUGUGUGAUAUGAAGGCAAAUUUGUUUCCUGUCAGCCUAAUGGACUUUCAAGCUGCAGUUUUUCCACUCCUCUUAAUGACUUGUUGCAAUGGAGAUGAGUGCGCUGUGUACAGCAAUGCCAUCUUCUGGCACAGUUCUUGUGAGAAAAGGAUCUUGCUGAAUACCAUUAAAAGAAAGCUCCUGCUCUGUGAAAAUAGGAACUCAGGCUCCACAAUAAAUCUCGGAUUUUCCGCUACGUACUGUUGGGCUGUAAUUGUUUGAGGAACUGAAACAAAAAAUGAGAAUGUGUGCAGGGCUCUGUAGGAACAAACUCACUCAAGUGGCUCUUCAAGGCACACCCAAGUACGCUGAUGAGAACGAACGUCACCGCUGACUCCCAAAUGCUCCAAGGUGAAGCGGUGUGGCUGCAGCCACAGAUGGGUACAAGGGCAAUUGUGGGGCAGUGCAGGAACCUGGGAGGAAGAACAAGCAGUCAAAUGGAACCAGCUUGGCAUAUCUCUGGGGAAAUGCUUUCUGUAUCAGCAAACAUUUCACACAUCUGAUUUUACUUUUGUAUUCCAAGCCAGGAGAUUUGCAUUAAGCAAAGACUGAACACGCGUGCUAUUUAUACUAAGGAAAUAAAUAAGGGCUACAAAUUCACAGCUUCCGCAUAGUUCUAAUUCUGACUUUCUCCUGAACCAUCCUAUUUGUAAUUUGGAGGUACAGAAGACAAGCUUAAAAUCAAAGUUCCCAACAAACCUAUACUUAUGCUUUUUUUCCAGAAUCUACAAGGUUCAUGUUCCGGUAUCUAUUGGAGUGCAGAUUUCAAAGGAUGAACAAGAAAGCCAGAUCUACUCCAGAAUAACAGCUGAAGGGAAACAACACUUGUAUGUUUAGUUACUGUGCCAUUUAAUA